ACAGACAGAGAGAGAGAGAGAGAGAGAGAGAGAGAGAGAAGAUAGACAAAGAGAGACGGACAGUGAGAAUGAUGCAUGACUCAAACAGAUUUCGUUUUCUCCUUAGCACAGAAACCUGAAAACCCUGUCUGAAGUGCUGUAACAGAAAAGUGACCGAUCAGACUCGAGAAUCCACGGUGGUAUGGAUUACAGACCGCUCGCACUGUACAGCUGUAUAAGGACGGACGAUCCGACUCUCCUCACUCACCUGCUGUGGCCGCUGUGUUUGGGGAAGAUGCGAACCGUCUUGUCAAAACUGGCUGACACAAACUCUCUUCCCGUGGGCGAGUAGUCCACAUCAAGCACAGCGGAGACAUGGUCCAUGUGUACUGUAACUGG
Molecule: long non-coding RNA, 378 nt
Organism: Ictalurus punctatus (channel catfish)
Lineage: Eukaryota; Metazoa; Chordata; Actinopteri; Siluriformes; Ictaluridae
Exons: 2
Source: RefSeq, a predicted model, not a curated record